UUUUUUUCUCUUUAUUUUUCUUAGUUGCAUGGGUCGGGCCCAAUAAUUUGGCCUUUUAUUUUCUGUGAUGAAGCCUUUUACUGAGCAACUUUUUUAUAGCCCACUCUUGUUUUGGGCCACAACCUCUUUAGUUCAGUUCUUGUUUGGGCCUUGGCCUUUUAUUUUAAGAUAUGCAACCUUUUAACUAACUUCUUUUACAGACAACUCUUUUUUAG
RNAcentral lists this long non-coding RNA (215 nucleotides) under Hordeum vulgare. Its description in RNAcentral is "long non-coding RNA (HVUL_LNC005519)". Lineage: Eukaryota; Viridiplantae; Streptophyta; Magnoliopsida; Poales; Poaceae. The record is from RNAcentral.